CAUAAAUGAAAUGGAUCAGAAAAUCCCGCUUGUGCUGAAGUUUGGGAUCCAAUGGUCACAGCUUUCCCCAAAGCCUCGCUGUCAGCUGAGCUAUGCCAGCCCAAAUGCAGGAUGCGGGGAGACAGGCAGGGAAACGGCCCCGGACGACAGGCAGCAGUGCUGUUCCUCCUGCUGCCAAGAGCUCAAUUGUCGCACAGAUACUGGAGAUCUAUUGCCUAUUCAGAAGGCAGAGUGAAUUAUUCUUUGGUAUUUGCAGAACUAUGGCAACAGCCAAAAAUGUAAGAGGUGUAUUCGGGAUGAGAUGACCAAGAGAGUGAACAAAGCAAGCAAGCUGUUACAAGUAAUCUCUGAAACUGCGUGGGACAUCGCAACGUCUGGGAUGUCUGCUGGCACUGCAGAAAAGGACCGGAUUGCGAUGGGAGCUUCCCAGUACAGAGAGCUGAGCUCCUGUGUGCUGUGUCUGGUCCUGCUUUGCCACGCUGGACCCAGAUGAAAGCUGCUCCCAUCACACAGCAGAUGAAUACCAACUUGCGGGCACAGCGAGGACACCACCAGGACAAAGCACAGAGCUCCUGGGCAGCGUCCCAGCUCUGAGCAGUGUGCAGCAGGCAGGUGGCUGCUGAGAAGUGGGAUUCCUUAGGUGUGGUGCAGCCGCAUCCACGUGCUGGCACUGCCCAUCCUGCUUGUUGACAUUGCAUGCACAAAUCACAGGUGUGAC
Molecule: long non-coding RNA, 718 nt
Filed under: Gallus gallus (chicken)
Lineage: Eukaryota; Metazoa; Chordata; Aves; Galliformes; Phasianidae
Description: lncRNA (ENSGALG00010017044.1)
Source: RNAcentral